RNAcentral lists this ribosomal RNA (160 nucleotides) under uncultured bacterium. Its description in RNAcentral is "partial 16S ribosomal RNA". It matches the Rfam family "Bacterial small subunit ribosomal RNA", at positions 355 to 507 of the family's 1533-position model. The record is from RNAcentral.
UGGGGAAUUUUGGACAAUGGGGGAAACCCUGAUCCAGCCAUUCCGCGUGAGUGAAGAAGGCCUUCGGGUUGUAAAGCUCUUUCAGCAGGAACGAAACGGUAAGCUUUAAUAAAGUUUGCUAAUGACGGUACCUGAAGAAGAAGCACCGGCUAACUACGUG